GUGAGGAAUUUUCCGCAAUGGGCGAAAGCCUGACGGAGCAAUGCCGCGUGAAGGAUGAAGGCCUAUGGGUUGUAAACUUCUUUUCUCAGAAAAGAAUUAUGACGGUAUCUGAGGAAUAAGCAUCGGCUAACUCUGUGCCAGCAGCCGCGGUAAGACAGAGGAUGCAAGCGUUAUCCGGAAUGAUUGGGCGUAAAGCGUCUGUAGGUUGUUUAAAAAGUAUUCUGUCAAAGAUUAGGGCUUAACCCUAGAUAGGCAGAAUAAACUUUUAAGCUAGAGUUUGGUAGAGGCAGAGGGAAUUCCCGGUGGAGCAGUGAAAUGCGUAGAUAUCGGGAGGAACACCAAAGGCGAAGGCACUCUGCUGGGCCAAUACUAACACUGAGAGACGAAAGCGAGGGGAGCAAAUGGGAUUAGAUACCCUAGUAGUCC
This 426-nucleotide ribosomal RNA is filed under the name uncultured bacterium. RNAcentral describes it as "bacterial SSU rRNA". It matches the Rfam family "Bacterial small subunit ribosomal RNA", at positions 354 to 796 of the family's 1533-position model. The record is from RNAcentral.